CCUACGGGUGGCAGCAGUGAGGAAUAUUGGUCAAUGGACGAGAGUCUGAACCAGCCAAGUAGCGUGAAGGAUGACUGCCCUAUGGGUUGUAAACUUCUUUUAUAUGGGACUAAAAUGUUCCACGUGUGGGAUUUUGUAUGUACCUUAUGAAUAAGGAUCGGCUAACUCCGUGCCAGCAGCCGCGGUAAUACGGAGGAUCCGAGCGUUAUCCGGAUUUAUUGGGUUUAAAGGGAGCGUAGGUGGGUUGUUAAGUCAGUUGGGAAAGUUUGCGGCUCAAGCGUAAAAUUGCAAUUGAUACUGGCAGUCUUGAGUACAGUAGAGGUGGGCGGAAUUCGUGGUGUAGCGGUGAAAUGCUUAGAUAUCACGAAGAACGCCGAUUGCGAAGGCAGCUCACUAAACUGCGACUGACACUGAUGCUCGAAAGUGUGGGUAUCAAACAGGAUUAGAUACCCUAGUAGUC
This 460-nucleotide ribosomal RNA is filed under the name uncultured bacterium. RNAcentral's name for it is "partial 16S ribosomal RNA". It matches the Rfam family "Bacterial small subunit ribosomal RNA", at positions 338 to 795 of the family's 1533-position model. The record is from RNAcentral.